RNAcentral lists this ribosomal RNA (548 nucleotides) under uncultured fungus. Its description in RNAcentral is "eukaryotic LSU rRNA". The stretch from base 184 to 337 matches the Rfam family "5.8S ribosomal RNA". Lineage: Eukaryota; Fungi. The record is from RNAcentral.
UACUGAGUUACCGCUCUACAACCCUUUGUGAACAUACCUAACCGUUGCUUCGGCGGGCAGGGGAAGCCUCUCGCGGGCGACCCCUCCCGGCGCCGGCCCCAUCACGGGGGCGGAGCGCCCGCCGGAGGAAACCAAACUCUAUUUACACGACGUCUCUUCUGAGUGGCACAAGCAAAUAAUUAAAACUUUUAACAACGGAUCUCUUGGUUCUGGCAUCGAUGAAGAACGCAGCGAAAUGCGAUAAGUAAUGUGAAUUGCAGAAUUCAGUGAAUCAUCGAAUCUUUGAACGCACAUUGCGCUCGCCAGCAUUCUGGCGAGCAUGCCUGUUCGAGCGUCAUUUCAACCCUCAAGCACCGCUUGGUUUUGGGGCCCCACGGCCGACGUGGGCCCUUAAAGGUAGUGGCGGACCCUCCCGGAGCCUCCUUUGCGUAGUAACUAACGUCUCGCACUGGGAUCCGGAGGGACUCUUGCCGUUAAACCCCCAAAUUUUUUCAGGUUGACCUCGGAUCCUGUAGGACUACCCGCUGAACUUAAGCAUAUCAAUAAAC